Molecule: long non-coding RNA, 407 nt
Organism: Coregonus clupeaformis (lake whitefish)
Lineage: Eukaryota; Metazoa; Chordata; Actinopteri; Salmoniformes; Salmonidae
Exons: 3
Source: RefSeq, a predicted model, not a curated record
UGAACAUGAUUUAGUGUGGUGAAUGUAAACUCAGCUGAUUUCGAACAGGUAAGAUGUAUUCCAAAGAAUUUAACAUAAAUACAGGAAAUGUGUGCAAUAGAAGUAGACUUGUGCAGACAUUCACUGACCCCAUGACAGAAGUGUACCUGCUGUUCUUCCAAGCCACCGUACCAACUUUCACUUCUUUCAACUUGCUGCUUCAGAGAGAGCAGUCAUCAAUAUUUUUGUUACAUGAUGAGAUGGUGAAAUUCGUACGCAAGCUAUGUUCCAAGUUUAUGGUUCCAGCAGCUCUGCAGUGCCAUGAGGAGCCUUGUGAAAUUGCCUUUAAAGAAAAGGCAAACCAUUUACCAGGAAGAAAGUUGAACAUUAGGUUCACAACCAGGGCUAAACUUAACAGAUUACUCGAC